Callithrix jacchus (white-tufted-ear marmoset) is the source of this 615-nucleotide long non-coding RNA. RefSeq lists it as uncharacterized. NCBI's taxonomy places the organism in Eukaryota, Metazoa, Chordata, Mammalia, Primates, Cebidae. The record is from RefSeq and is a predicted model, not a curated record.
GUGAAGACAUUGUCACACAAACAAAAACUGGGAGAGCUGGCCACCAGGGGCCUCAUUGAAAGAAAUUCUAAAGUCUAUACUUCAUGUCAAAGGAAAGUGAUUGCCAAUGAAAGAAAUGAAAACCAAGGAAAAUGGUUGACUUCAUCAGCUAUGAAUCUAUUAUGAACCACUGCACUGGAACAAACGUAUCCUAAGUAAAAAGAAAGACAACCUCUUGUAACUAAUGAGACUCAGAACAUCCUCAAAGAACAGAACCUUCAGCCCAGAAUUUCAUAUCCAGCCAAACUAAGCUUCACAACUGAAGGAAAAAUAAAAUCUUUUAUGAACAAGCAAGUACUCAGAGAUUUUAUUACCACUAGGCCUGCUUUACAAGAGCUUCUGAAAGAAGCAUUACACACAGAAAGAAACAACCAGUAUUAGCCUUUCCAAAAAUAUACCAAAAAGUAAAGAGCACCAACAUAAAGAAGAAUUUACACCAACGAAUGGAUAAAACAGCCAGUUAACAUCGAAUGGCAGUAACCCUAAAUUUAAAUCGACUAAAUCCUCCAAUCAAAAGACACAGUCAAAACCCAACAGCAUGUUACAUCCAGACCUGUUUCACAUGCAAGGAUACAC